Long non-coding RNA from Caretta caretta (loggerhead turtle), 1965 nucleotides. RefSeq lists it as uncharacterized. The record is from RefSeq and is a predicted model, not a curated record. NCBI's taxonomy places the organism in Eukaryota, Metazoa, Chordata, Testudines, Cheloniidae.
GACGGCAAAGGGGUUGGCACCACACUGAAGGGGAGCUCUGGGUGGGUGGCCUGCACCGAGAGGGCAGUACCACACCUAAAGAACGCAAGGUCUUGCGGAGAAGUUGCAUUCUGAGGCAGAGCCUCGGCUAGUUUGGGGACUGCAGAGGGAGACAGUUGGGGUCUAAUUGAAAACAGUCCAUGUGUGUAUUUGGGGGGGACUAUAGGGACUGAUGGAUGCAGGGCCUAGAGAUGAGUAGGGUUUGGGGUUGUGUGGGAGGCCCUCUGGCACAUAAGAUAGUGUGGGGUGCAUACAGACGGUGGUGGUAAUGCUCUUUUCACGCUCAAACCCUUUUGUUUCUAAGGAGAGUACAUCCUGGUCUGACUCUUGAGAUUUUACAUCCUUAGACAAAUGGGGAAGUGUCUGGCUGUAAUCCUGACAGAAAGUAUUUUUCUAAAAUAACUGGCUUACCUAUGUAUCUACCCUGCAGCUGCCAUUCAAUGUCUGCCUACCCCAUGCUGAUGUGGGGGCACAGCUGUGGCAUCUGGUGGAUGUUCUAGAUACACUGUUACUUGGGAGCAGUGCAUGCUGAUCCUGUUGUGGAGGUUGCUCCUCCAUAAAUGUGCCUCUCCAAGCAGCUUUGGUUUUGGGGAGUGGAACCUCCCUGCAAGUGAUAUUUUCUUCAACAUAACUUUUUGCCUGAGAAUUACACUUUUUUGAAGUAAAGGGAAAGAAUUCUUCAGUUACAUGAAGAUCUUGCCAGCUGCACAGAUCCUGUGAUGAAACAAACAAGCUGUGCAGGUGGGGUACAGGAGUUGACGGGAGAGCAAUCCGCAGUCGAUUUAGCGGGUCUUCAUUAUCCCCUGGCUGGAGUCUCCUUCCAAAAGUGCGCCUUUGCUGCUGAAAUUAAAGCCAAUUGAACUAGUGAACUGAUGGGAUUUAUUGGCCAGCCACUUACAUGCAGAGUUUGAAGUAAUAAAUCAGCUUGGUCUGCAGUAGUCUCUUCUGCGGUGGUGGAAAACCUCUUCACUUGGACUAAAGGAUAUUUAAGAAACUGAGUCAAGCACGGCUCCUUCUCUUCUCAGCCAUGACCAUCUGUUUGCCUCUGCUCUCUGUAACUAUGAUGUCCUCCUUGAGCCUGAGCUUUUUUUCUCUUCCCACAUCUAUAUCAGCAAAUCUGCCUGUCAUCACCGCAGUGGCAUGUUCCCUUUGUGAUACUGCUUUAGUUCCACCUGUGUUGAAAUCUUCAUCUAUUUUCAUCUCCACUUUCCUUGACUAUGGCAACUCUCUUCUCUGAUCUCGUCAAGUACCAGCUCUCCCGAUUCAAGCAUGUGAGUUCUGCUCCCCUUCUCAUGUGCACAAAGAAAUGUGACUGAAUUGCUCCAGCCACAAACUCCACUGGUUGCAGCUUGCUUCAUGCUCCAGUUUAAAAUCGUCUUUGUUUUAUAACCCACCAUGGACUUUUCCCCAAAUGUUCUCAAAUAACUUGUCUGUCUCUACUAUUGUCUGUGUUAGUCUUUAUCAUUUGCCUUCUUGACUGUAGCUGCUACCAUCCGGAGUAGUCACCUUUAAUUUUCUGCCUAAUCAGUCCUCCCUCUCCUUUCAGAUCUUGUUACUAACUUUUAAAUUUCUCUGUAAUUGUUUAACCUUGCAAAAUGUUUUGGGCUACAGUUUGUAUUGAUACCAUAGAAAGCAUGAGUAUAUUGUAAGUAAUUUAGAGGUAGAGAAAGCAGGAAAAAUUGUAUUCUGUUCCAAGUAAUAAAACAAAAAAACCCCACACAAAUAAACAAAAUCUGCCAUCAGAUGAAGAUACCUGUAAUAAUAAAUUUGGUGGGUCCAGUGAAUGACAAAGGUCUGUUCAGUCAUUCCACUGUUCAAACUGAAAGUAUUAAGCACGGGAUGAUACCAGUAGGUGUUCUUUAACAGGCUACACUGUCUCUAAAAUCCUGUGUAUGUUUGAUAAAAUAUAUUUUACUAUACAUGUUA